UUACGUGUGGAAAUACCUCUUCUUUUUAGGAGCGGGAUACAUUCAUAACAGGCUGCAAUGAAAAAGGAGUUCUCAGAAAUCCCAACCUUACAGCAGAGGUUAGUAGUUCCAUAUUUUUUCCAACAUAA
Molecule: small nucleolar RNA, 128 nt
Organism: Loxodonta africana (African savanna elephant)
Lineage: Eukaryota; Metazoa; Chordata; Mammalia; Proboscidea; Elephantidae
Product: small nucleolar RNA U109
Source: Ensembl